RNAcentral lists this ribosomal RNA (212 nucleotides) under uncultured Enterobacterales bacterium. Its description in RNAcentral is "partial 16S ribosomal RNA". It matches the Rfam family "Bacterial small subunit ribosomal RNA", at positions 120 to 334 of the family's 1533-position model. Lineage: Bacteria; Pseudomonadati; Pseudomonadota; Gammaproteobacteria; Enterobacterales. The record is from RNAcentral.
GGGAAACUGCCUGAUGGAGGGGGAUAACUACUGGAAACGGUAGCUAAUACCGCAUAACGUCGCAAGACCAAAGAGGGGGACCUUCGGGCCUCUUGCCAUCAGAUGUGCCCAGAUGGGAUUAGCUAGUAGGUGGGGUAACGGCUCACCUAGGCGACGAUCCCUAGCUGGUCUGAGAGGAUGACCAGCCACACUGGAACUGAGACACGGUCCAG